GUAACAGAGUGCCACUGGGGAGGAGGAGGCAUACAUGGAGGGAAGGAGGAGGUACAGACCAAGAAGAAGAAGACUCAAAUCAAUCUCAGCCAUCCAGCUCCCACUGGACUCCAGGGAAGCUGUUAAGGUAAGGAGGGUGGCUAAAGUAUGUAAAUUGAUAGGACUGUGUGUGUUUAUGUCAGUGUGUGUGUAUAUCUGACUGUGUGUGUGUGUGUGUAUAUAUAUAUCUCUGACUGUGUGUAUGUGUGUGUGUGUGUGUGUGUGUGUAUAUAUAUCUGACUCUGUGUGUGUGUGUGUGUGUGUGUAAUAUAUCUGACUGUGUUUGUGAGUAUCUGACUGUGUGUGUGUAUCUGACUGUUUGUGUGUGUGUUUGUGUGUGUGUAUAUCUAACUGUGUGUUUGGGUAUCUGACUGUGUGUUUGGGUAUCUGACUGUGUGUGUGUGUGUGUAUCUGACUGUAUGUGUGUGUGUAUCUGACUGUAUGUGUGUGUAUAUCUGACUGUGUGUGUGUAUAUAUCUGACUGUGUGUGUGUGUGCAUAUAUCUGACUGUGUGUGUAUAUCUGUCUGUGUGUGUAUAUACCUGACUGUGUGUAUGUGUAUCUGACUGUAUGUGUAUAUAUCGGACUGUGAGUGUGUGUGUAUCUGACUGUAUGUAUGUGUGUAUCUGACUGUGUGUGUAUAUAUCUGACUGUGUGUGUAUAUCUGACUGUGUGUGUAUAUACCUGACUGUGUGUAUGUGUAUCUGACUGUAUGUGUAUAUAUCGGACUGUGAGUGUGUGUAUCUGACUGUAUGUGUGUGUGUGUCUGACUGUGUGUGUCAGUGUGUAUCUGGCUGUUUGUGCCAGUGUGUGUUUAUAUGGCUGUGUUUGUGUCAGUGUAUGUGUACCUUUGUGUCAGUGUUUAUGUAUCUGUGAUAGGCGUGCGCAGCCUAUUGCAUUAGGGUGUGCACCCUAAAGCACAAACACACGCCGUGUGUAUAUGUAUGUGUGUAUGUAUAUAUGUGUGUGUGUGUGUGUAUGUUUGUGUGUGUGUAUAUCUAACUGUGUGUUUGGGUAUCUGACUGUGUGUUUGGGUAUCUGACUGUGUGUGUGUGUGUGUGUCUGACUGUAUGUGUGUGUGUAUAUAUCUGACUGUGUGUGUGUGCAUAUAUCUGACUGUGUGUGUAUAUCUGACUGUAUGUGUAUAUACCUGACUGUGUGUAUAUAUCUGACUGUGUGUAUGUGUGUAUCUGACUGUGUGUGUAUAUAUCUGACUGUGUGUGUGUAUCUGACUGUGUGUGUGUGUGUAUCUGACUUUAUGUAUGUGUGUAUCUGACUGUGUGUGUAUAUAUCUGGCUGUGUGUAUAUCUGACUCUGUGUGUGUGUGUGUAUCUGACUGUGUGUGUUUGUAUCUGACUGUGUGUGUAUCUGACUGUGUGUGUGUGUGCAUAUCUGACUGUGUGUGUAUAUAUCUGACUGUGUGUUGAUAUCUGACUGUGUUUGUGUAUAUCUGACUGCGUCUGUGUAUCUGACUGUGUGUGUGUGUGUCUGACUGUGUGUGUAUCUGACUGUGUGUGUGUAUCUGACUGUGUGUGUGUAUAUCUGACUGUGUGUGUCUGUGUGUGUAUUUGACUGUGUGUGUGUGUGUAUUUGACUGUGUGUGUGUGUAUCUCACUGUGUGUGUGUGUGUAACUGACUGGCUGUGUUUGUAUCUGACUGUGUGUGUGUGUGUGUGUGUGUGUGUGUCUGACUGUGUUUAUGUGUGUGUGUGUGUGUGUCAGUGUGUAUCUGGCUGUUUGUGCCAGUGUGUGUUUAUCUGGCUGUGUUUGUGUCAGUGUAUGUGUACCUUUGUGUCAGUGUUUAUGUAUCUGUCAUAGGCGUGCACAGCCUAUUGCAUUAGGGUGUGCACCCUAAAGCACAAACACACGCCGUGUGUAUAUGUAUGUGUGUGUAUGUAUAUAUGUGUGUGUGUGUGUGUGUAUAUCUAACUGUGUGUUUGGGUAUCUGACUGUGUGUGUGUGUGUGUAUAUCUGACUGUGUGUGUAUAUAUCUGACUGUGUGUGUGUGCAUAUAUCUGACUGUGUGUGUAUAUACCUGACUGUGUGUGUAUCUGACUGUGUGUAUGUGUAUCUGACUGUAUGUGUGUAUAUAUCUGACUGUGUGUGUAUCUGAUUGUAUGUAUGUGUGUAUCUGACUGUGUGUGUGUAUAUCUCACUGUGUGUGUAUACAUCUGACUGUGUGUGUGUGUAUCUGACUGUAUGUAUGUGUGUAUCUGACUGUAUGUAUGUGUGUAUCUGACUGAGUGUGUAUAUAUCUGACUGUGUGUGUAUAUCUGACUCUGUGUGUGUGUAUAUGACUGUGUGUGUUUGUAUCUGACUGUGUGUGUGUGCAUAUCUGACUGUGUAUGUAUAUAUCUGACUGUGUGUUGAUAUCUGACUGUGUGUGUGUAUAUCUGACUGUGUGUGUGUGUAUAUCUGACUGUGUGUGUGUAUCUGACUGUGUGUGUGUGUGUGUAUCUGACUGUGUGUGUGUAUCUGACUGUGUGUGUGUGUGUAUCUGACUGUGUGUGUGUAUAUCUCACUAUGUGUGUCUGUGUGUGUAUCUGACUGUGUGUGUAUAUCUCACUGUGUGUGUGUAUCUACUGUGUGUGUGUGUAACUGACUGGCUGUGUUUGUAUCUGACUGUGUGUGUGUGUGUCUGACUGUGUUUGUGUGUGUGUGUGUCAGUGUGUAUCUGGCUGUUUGUGCCAGUGUGUGUUUAUCUGGCUGUGUUUGUGUCAGUGUAUGUGUACCUUUGUGUCAGUGUUUAUGUAUCUGUCAUAGGCGUGCGCAGCCUAUUGCAUUAGGGUGUGCACCCUAAAGCACAAACACACGCCGUGUGUAUAUGUAUGUGUGCUGCAUGACGGUUGUUUGAGGGUGUUGUGUGUGUAAGGGUGCGGUGUGUGUGUAAGGGUGCUGUGUGUGAGGGUGCUGUUAGUGUGAUGUGUGUGUGAGGGUGCUGUUUGUGUGCUGUGUGUGUGUGUGUUUGUUAGGGUCCUGUUAGUGUACUGUGUGUGUGAGGGUGCUGUGUGUGUGUUUGUGAGGGUGCUGUUUCUGUGCUCUGUAUGAGAGGGUGCUGUGUGUUUGAGGGUGCUGCAUGUGCGAGGGUGCUGUAUGUCUGUGGGUGCUGUAUGUGUGUGCUGUGUGUGUGUGGGUGCUGUAUGUGUGAAGGUGCUGUAUGUGGGUGCUGUGUGUGUGUGUGCUGUAUGUGUGUGUGUGCUGUCUGUGUGUGUGUGGUGUGUGUGUGUGAGGGUGCUGUGUGUGUGUGUGGGUGCUGUGCGUGUGUGGGUGCUGUAUGUGUGUGUGCUGUGUGGGUGCUGUGUGUGUGCUGUAUGUGUGUGUGUGCUGUGUGGGUGCUGUGUGUGUGUGGGUGCUGUGUGUAUGUGUGUAGGUGCUGUGUGUGUGCUGUAUGUGUGUGUGUGGGGGUGAUUGUGGGGGUGGGGGUACAUUACUUAAUAUCCCCCCUCCCUUCUUACCUUAUGUAGGGAGGGGGGAUCAUGCUGCUGCUUUCCCUGGUGGUCCAGUGGAGAGAGAACUCUAGCCCCUAUGGGGCUAGAGUUCACUCUUGCGAGAUCUGAACAUUGCCACGGCAACGCUCAGAACUUGCGAGAGGAACCCGGCGGAGCUGCUGGUUGAGCUCCCCGGUUCCUCUCCUGCCUCCCUCCAUGCUGCGGAUAGCGCUGGCUCUGCAUGAGCCGACAGGGGAGAUCCUGAGAUCUCCCCUGCCGCUUUCACUCCAUAGGCGUGCCGCGGGGAUUAGGGUGUGCCCAAGCACACCUAUGGUAUCUUUGUGUAUGUAUACCUGUGUGUCAGUUUGUAUGUGUAUGUGUACCUGCGUGUCUGUGUAUAUGUACCUAUGUGUGUAUAUGAGUGUCAGUAUGUGUAAGUGUGUAUCUAUGUGUGUGGCAAUGCAUACAUCCCAUCUAACAUUGCACACAAAUACACCCCUACAUUCCAACAUUAACAAUGCACACAAAUACACCACUGCAUGUGUAUCUGUGUUCCUGUGUGUAUCUCAGUGUUUUUGUAAGUGUGCAUCUGUGUGACAAUGCAUACAUCCCAGCAUUCCUACGCCAACACUGCACACAAAUACACCCCUGCAUGUGUACCUGUGUUUGUGUGUGUACAUAUCUGUGUCAGUGUGUGUGUGUAUCUCUGUGUGUGGAUGUGCCAGUGUUUUUAUCUCUGUGUGUGCAUGUGUAUUUAUGUAUGUGUCUGUGUGUGUAUACGCCAGUCUUUGUCAGUGUGUGCAUGUGUCCAGAUGUGUGCAUCAUACCAUCAUAUCAUUUUUGUAAUACCUUUUUUACACCCCUAUGUAUGUGUAUGUAUAUCUGUAAAUGUAUGUCAUACAUCACGGCAAUCAAACACAACAUGCAAACACACCCCUGCAAACAUUACAUACAAACACACCCCUGAAUUCAAACUCAAAAAGUAUAUAGAAACACAUCCCUACACUUAAACACCAAUACUACACCCUACAUGCACACACAUACUGUAUACAACAACAUGCUCACAUUCAAAUGCACAAACACUGCUCACAAAUACAGCCAUGCAAGAAUGGCCAAAUGGUAGAUCCCCAGCUGGCAUAGCAUUGUGGGAAUAGUACAACAGAAGAGGGUCUAUCUUUUCUCUGCUCUUGCGCUAGAGGGGAGGCUCAAAACAAUGUCUUGCACCAAGGCCCUGUCUACAUUAGUUCUGCCACCGUGUUGGGGUGGAGGGCGUGAUUGCAUGCCAGAGAGUGAAAGUGUAUGGGGGUGGGGGGGUGGAGGGCAGGAUCCAGGGGGCCCAAACAAAUGCUUGCCCAGGGUCCAAUCAAUGUUAAAGAUGGCCCUGACAAUAGCCCUAUGUAGAAUUCAAAUGUAGAACUUAUAGUAAGAAUAGUCUUAUGUAGAAAACAGAUGUAGAACAAAUAGUAAAUGUUAGCCUUAUGUAGAAAUCAGAUGUUAAACAUAUAGCAAAGAAUAGUCUUAUGUUGAAAUCAAAUGUAGAACAUAAAGGAAAGAAUAACCUUAUGUAGAAAACAGAUGUAGAACAUAUAGUAAAGAAUAGUUUUAUGAAGGAAUCAGAUGUAUAUCAGAUGUAUAUAGUUAAAGGGACUCCCCAGUGCUAGGAAAACAAUCCGUUUUCCUGGCACUGCAGGUCUCCUCUCCCUCCCACCUCAUUUCCCCGGUUGCUGAACCGGUGAAAACCCCUUCAAUCACUUACCAGAGGCAGCGACGAUGUCCCACGUCGCUGCUUCUUCCUCCGCCGCCGCUCCUCCCCUUCAUUACGUCAGCAAUGCCGUGCAUGCAUAUUAGAUCUCUCCAUAGGAAAGUAUUGAAAAUGCUUUUCAAUGCUUUCCUAUAGAGAUUUUAGCGACGCUGGAGGUCCUCACACAGCGUGAGGACGUCCAGCAACGCUAAAGCACAGAAAACCUGUGCUAUGGACCAGGAAGUGCCCUCUAGUGGCUGUCUAGUAGACAGCCAUUAGGGGAGGACUUAACCCUGCAAGGUAAAUAUUGCAGUUUAUGAAAACUGCAAUAAUUACAGUUGCAGGGUUAAGGAUAGUGGGAGUUGGCACCGAGACCACUCCAAUGGGCAGAAGUGGUCUGGGUGCCUGGAGUGUCCCUUUAAGAAUGGUUUUAUGUAGGAAUCAGAUGUAGAACAUAUAGUAAAGAACAGUCUUAUUUAUAGAUCAGAUGUAGAACAUUUAGUAAAGUAUAUGUUAUUUUAUUUUUUUCCUUUUCAAGCACAGAAAGUGCAACAUAAUGCUUAGUAGAGUACAAAGUAGCGUUGUUACAAUACAAACCUUGCAUAAGUCCAUUCUACACAUAUUUCACAAGAGCAUAAAGAAGAGAAAGGAAAGAAUUGGUAGUAGACCUGCCCAGGGUAAGGUAGAAUGAAUAACCAAACUAGAGUAAAAUCACAGAGCAUUAUAAUCCUCCCAUGGUUGCUAGAUCUUAUGAAAUGAAGACAUAGUAUUCCUAACUCUAGCUGUUAAAUUACCAUUAAAUGAUUGUCUUUUAACUUGAGCAAGGCUGCUACUAGUGUGGAGACUGUGUCUUGCAAACAGUUUUGUGCCAGCGCUAGUCUGGUAGCUAGGUUUACUUUACAUGUUGACAGAGGAAAAGUCCUCCAUCAGUUUUGAUACAAAAGGAAAGACAAAGGGUCUAGCGUUAAUGGUCUAUGGAAGAUGCUACUUAAGAGGUCUCAGAUGUGCUCCCAAAAUGAAAUCACUUUAGGGUGUGACCACCACAUGUCAGUGUAGGAGCUCCUGUCUCCACACCUCCUCCAAAUCUGUGGCAGUUUUACCCAUGUGAAACAAUUAACCAGAAGUUGUAUCCCAUCUAAAUAAGGUUUCACAUGUUUGUAAAUUAAGGCUAACAGACACAUUGGUAGUCAGAUAUCUUCCUAAUCACUCCCAUCUAAUCUCUGAUGUAGGUAGGCCUCCCAAAGGUAGUAAAGUAUAGUUUAUUUAGAAAUCAGAUAUAAAACUUAUAGUAAAGUAGAUUUUUAUUUAAAUAUCAAAUGUCGUUAUUAAGAUACAUUGAAUUCGCAAACCCAGCUUGGUUACUCACCAUUCUGUAAUUAAUGCAAAAUUGGAUUCUAAGGAUUUCCACAUUGAUAAGUUUCACAGCCUUUUUGAAAAUUCUGUUCAUGGAACUGCUUCUUUCUUUAAAAAAGUAUGGCAAAAUAUACAAACAAUAAAAAAACAACUUAUAAUAUACAACUUAAUGAAACCUUAAAGGAACACUCCAGGCAUCAUAAGAAAUCCCUCUAAAUUAAGUUGUUAUGGAGCCUGGGGGCCCCCUGGGUGCACUAUACCUCAAGGGGUUAAAUUGUUCUUGAAUGGUUUAACCCCUAACUUGCCUCCAGCAUUGACUCAACUGCCCCAGGCAGCAUCUGGCUUUUGAAAUUUCAGUUUCAAGAAGCAUAGAGUGCCGCUGAUCAGCUGGCUUGGAAAGCCAAUUACUGGUGCCUCUGCCUGGUGACUCUCCUCGCUUCUUAAAACUGAAAUUUCAGAAGACGAAUGCUUUGGAGUUAAACCCUAGAGGUAAGAGUGUACCCCAUAACACCCCUAAAUUGGGGUGUUUAGUUCUGCAUCCUGCUAAGAGGAACUCAAAUUAUUAGCUGUGUUAUGUAGUCAAGCUGUUAUUGAGUUUAAAUAACUUUUGUUUCUGACUUUUGAACCUUUUUGUAAUACCUUUUUUAUACAUUUUGCUGGGUGGGGUGAAAUAAUCAAUUACCUGGUGGUCCAGUGCGCUCCCUAAUUAUCUGAUCUGUAGCUGCGUUCUGUAUUACGCUCUCCCCUUUUUCUCAGGAACAUUCUCUAAACUUUAUGCAUGGGAAUGACCAUUCAGACCAUUCAGAGGCUUCUCAUUGAGCAGCCGUGUGGACAAGCUGUCCAAGUGUGUGGCUGUUUAAUCACAGACGUCUCAGUGAGCUUACAGCCCAUUGAGAAUCUUUUGCAAUGAAGGAACUGAAGUGCUUUAGGUGUUUGGAGUGUUCCUUUAGGAGAGCAUCUUGAUUGGCUGUGUUGCUUCCUGGUCUGAGCAGAGCUGACUGUAGAAGCUGCAAAGCCACCUAACGUACAUUUUCUCUUGUGGGUGGUUAUUACUUUAUUUGUUUUUCUGUUUUCUUUUUUAACAUAUAUAUUCUGCUGCUGUCACUGUUCAUUUGCAUCCCUCAAAGCUGGUCCUUUUUCUAGUUACAGUUCACAAAGACACAGACACUCUGCCAAUUCCUUUUCGAGACAGGUUUCCAUUUCCUGUGCGUUCUACACUGUUCUAGUGGUCAGAAGGAAGACUUUUAACCUCGGGCUAAUCUGACACAACAUUUAUAGGCAUGGCUCUAAGACACCACUAUUUAUAAACUACUAUGUCAUAGAAGAUUUUACAGUAUGUUCAGUUAUAUCAUUUUAAUAUUUAAUAUCUAUAUUCAUUCUUUAUACUGUUUUAUUGAUUAUAUGGUUUUAUUUAUCUUGCAAUAUUUCAGAAUGUGCACAAGGUAUUAGUAUACAGGCAGAAAUAUAAUUUUGUGACAUAAAGAAGAUGUGACCAAAAUACAUGAAAUACGCAUUGAAUGGCUAUGACCAAUUUAUGCGCUAUAGAAUUCCAUAGCUAGAUGGUAUUUAACAAUCUGAUGAUGUUUGUAGCAAUCCAGCUCCAAAAUAAUACCAACUGAAUGUUACAUAAAACUGAGUAAACUUGAGUAUAUUGUAAACAUGAGUAUAAUGUCCAUGUGCUGUGCAAUUACUCUAAACUAUGGUUGUAUAUAUAAAGAUAUGGGUGAUGUAAAUAUCUUACAGACAAUCCAUGUUCUGUGUUGAAUGGGGUCCCCAUCAAGAUUUACAUGCAGAUGUCUGUAUGCGUAAAAUUCUAAGAAUGUGUAUAUUUCUAUUCGUAAUGUAUUGUGUUUGGAUCUGUGAGUAUAGUGAGUGUAUGCAGUUGUGUAAAUGCAUGCAGGGUAAGAUAAUGUUAGAAUUGGUUAUGGUAAAGGGGUUAGGGUAUGAGAGGAGAUAACAUCGCAAUUAGUUUAAAAUAGGGAAUUUUGUGAUACGUUGAUUAAAAGCUUGAAAGGGGUUAUAGUAGUGGUAUACGGUGUGUUUAGAAAUAUUGAGUUUAGGAUUAGAUUUAGAGUUGGGUAAAAUUUAGUAUUGAAGAACAUGAGGAGUUUUGUUUUUAAGAGGAGUUUAAGGUUUGUAUUUUGAAUGCUUAAAGGAUCACUAUAAUGUCAGAAAUAAAAAUAUGUAUUCCUGACACUAUAGGUCUAAAUAACUGUUUUGCCCCUGCCCUCCCUUACUUCUGGUUAGAAAGGUGAUUUACUUAUCUUUUUCCAAUGUCGCACGAGUCUGGUCGUGGCUCCACCCCCUUGGCUGAGAUCAUCAAACUUGAAAAUCUCAGCCAAUCCAAUGCUUUGCAAUAGAAAUCAUUGGGAGGCUCUCACGCAUGCGUGCCAAAAUGCUGCUCUGUGCCAAUCAGCAUCUCCUCAUAGAGAUGUAUUGGCUAAAUGGAUCUCUAUGGGGAAAGUUCAGCGACUCCAUGCAAUGUGCUGCCCUACCCCAGGAAUCACAUCUAUUGAUCGUCUGAGUGUUGUUUAUAACAAUUUGAAUUGUUUAUAACAAUUUAUUCACAUCAAAGAAACCAUAAAGCCACACGCACAUAUUACAAAACACCAUAAAUAGUGCAAUAGAAGCAUGUAGGAUAAAAUGCAGAUAAAAUCAGCCAGAGCCUCUCACCCAACGCAUUUUGGCAACAAAAGACUUCCUUGGGGUUAUGCAAUCUGUAGAGUGAUGUCCUCCCAUUUACAUCGAGUGUCCCUUAAUAAGACCUUCCUCUGGUUUUUGCUGGCUUUUUCUUCCUAAUGCGCCAAUAUCAUGCAACUUCUUAUUAUGAGUUACACUUAUAUAUCCUGCAAUGUGCAACCUUAAAACUACCGUGGAUACUGCCGAGAACUGUUGUUCUGAUGUGCCUGUUUUCUGGCCUAAUGACCUACACCUUUACUUAUUGUUUUGGUCUGUAAGACCACAUAUCCUUUGUAGAAAAAUAAAAAUAAAAAAUCGACUUCUGUACAAAUUUAAAGAAUCAUAAAAUCUUAAUAUUUAUUUCAUGAUGAUCAUUACCAUCCCUUUCUGUUCUGCAGAAGUGAAAAAAGGAGCAUCUGUUGAUUUGAUAGCAGUAACUUGACUGUGCUAAAAGGAAUGCUGAAUCUUUGAGUCGCUGAAUCACUCCAUAAAACAAUGCUGUUAGCCUCUCUAUACACAACAUGAGUGCACCGUGUACAUUCAAGCUCUACAAACACUUUUCAAGAGUUGUUUUGUGUGUUUUUCUUUUUCCAUUUUGCCAUAAAUGUAUUUUAGUUACCUGUUGCUGGGCAGUGGUGGUAUACAGGGACACUAGAUAUUCAGGGAUUUUUAGAUACUUCACUUAAAGGACCACUAUAGGCACCCAGACGACUUCAGCUCAAUGAAUUGGUCUGGGUGCCAGGUCCCUCUAGUUUUAACCCUGCAGCUGAAAACAUAGCUGUGAUGCUUUGUACAAAUCAGUCAAUAAUUCCUGUAUAACGAAGUACUCACUUUAUUACAACAUAUAUGUGCUGUGUAUGUGUGAGGGUGUUUGUGUGUGUGUGUGUGUUGGUGAGGGUGCUGUUAGUGUGCUUUGUGUGAGGGUGCUGUGUGUUUGUAAGGGUGCUGUGUGUGUGUGUUUAUGAGGGUACUGUUAGUGUGCUGUGUGUGGUUGGGUGCUGUUUGUGUGCUGUGUGUGUAAGGGUGCUGUAUGUGUGUGUGUUGUGUGUGUGCUGUAUGUUUGUAGGGAUUGUGGGAGUGGAGGUAGGGGCAGAUUAGUAAAUAUCCCCCCUCCUUUCUUACCUUGUGUAGGGAGGAUGAUCAUUGCUGCCAUCCCUGGUGGUCCAGUGGAGAGUGAACUCUCGCAAGACUGAGCGUUGCCAUGGCAAUGCUCAGAUCUCGCGAGAGGAACCAGGCGGAGCUGCUGGCUAGAGCAGGUCCUCUCCUGCCUCCCUCCAUGCUGCUUUGGGCCGGUGAGGGAGAUAGUGCCAGCUCUGCAUGAGCCGACAGGGGAGAUCCUGAGAUCUCCCCUACCGGUCUCAAUCCAUAGGAAUGCCGCGGGGAUUAGGGUGUGCCCAGGCACACCUGCCACACCUUGUGCGCACGCCUAUGUGUGUCUGUUUUGCUAUUAUGUCAGUAUAGGUAAACAUUAACCCCUUAUGGACUGAGCCAAAUUUACACGUUUUGAUCAAAAUAAAAAGUAAACAAUUUGGAAUUGGACUAUAUGCCUGUUUAACCAUAAUUCACCUCUUUCAUAUUAAGUGCACACCCACUUAUUAUAUAUAAUUUUAUUCAGGAAAAUUAAAAAGGCUUUGCUUUUUUUUUAAAUUCUUUAUUUUUGUUGUGGAAGAUUUCCAUGGUUGUGGUGAUAGUAUACAAUUUCCAGCAGGGCCGGACUGGGAGAAAAAUUCGGCCCGGGCAUUUUUUUUAACACAGCGGCCCACUAAAAAGGGGGCGGGGCAGAGGAGGUGUGUUUUGUCAUCACCAAUGACAAACACGCCUCCUCUCAAAGUGAGCAUGUUGGUUCAAUGCUCUUCCAGGGCAGACCAUGCGCAGAGCUCUGCUGAAGAGCUCUAGCAUGAGAAAAAAGUCCUGUAUUUGUUCUGCACAGUGCAAGCAAAUUUAAUAACAUGCUUGCACUGUGUUUCCUUGCAACUUGUCUCUGGUGUCUCUAUAAAUGGAUACCAGGAGACAAAAGGCCAGGAAAGAGUAUUGUGCAUGUGUUUGGAGCCUGCUUGUGGUAUUGCAUGUGUGUAGAGUGAGCUGGUCGUGGUGUGGUAUUGUGUAAUAAGGUCGGUUUUAGUCGUGUUGUGUUUGUGGUGUAAUGUGAUGCAUAUGUGGCUCAGGGACCCCCUCCCGCCCGGCUCUGGAAAAGGGUUAAAACUUACCUUUUUCCAGCGCCGGGCGGGGAGCUCUCCUCCUCCGAUCCGCCCUGUCGGCUGAAUGCGCACGCGUGGCAAGAGCUGCGCGCGCAUUCAGCCAGUCGCAUAGGAAAGCAUUUAUAAUGCUUUCCUAUGGACGCUUGCGUGCUCUCACUGUGAUUUUCACAGUGAAAAGCACGGAAGCGCCUCUAGCGGCUGUCAAUGAGACAGCUGCUAGAGGCUUUGGGGGAAGGCUUAACCCAUUGAUAAACUGCUAUGUUUAUAAAACAAUGGGUUAACCCUAGAAGGACCUGGCACCAAGAGCACUUCAUUAAGCAGAAGUGGUCUGGGUGGCUAGAGUGGUCCUUUAAGAGUGUAGUGUGUGUGUGUGUGUGUGUAUAUAUAUAUAUAUAUAUAUAUAUAUAUAUAUAUAUAUAUAUAUUUGGAAGUAUUGUGUAUGUGUGUGGUGCAGUGUGUUGGGGGGGUUCUGUGUGUAUGUGAGGGGUGCAGUAUGUGUGUGUGUAAGGGUGCGGUGUGUGUGUGAGGGGUGCGGUGUGUGUGAGUGCCGUGUGAGAGUGCCGUGUGUGAGUGAUGGGUGUGAGAGUGCCGUGUGUGAGAGUGCGUGUGUGAGAGUGCUGUGUGAGAUGGGUGUGAGAGAGUGCUCUGUGAGAGUGCUGUGAGUGUGAUGGGUGUGAGAGUGCUGUGAGAGAGUGCUGUGUGUGUGUGAGAGUGCUCUGUGAGAGUGCUGUGAGUGUGAUGGUGUGAGAGUGCUGUGUGAGAGAGUGCUGGGUGUGAGAGUGCCGUGUGAGAGAGUGCUGUGUGUGUGUGAGAGUGCUGUGAGUGUGAUGGGUGUGAGAGUGCUGUGUGAGAGAGUGCUGUGUGUGAUGGGUGUGAGAGUGCUGUGUGUGAUGGGUGUGAGAGUGCAGGGUGUGAGAGUGCUGUGUGUGAUGGGUGUGACAGUGCUGUGUGUGAUGGGUGUGAGAGUGCUGUAUAAAUGUUAUUGUGUGUGUGUGUAGGGGGGGGUAAAUAAAAUUUAAAAAAAAACAAAACAAAAAAACAGUAAUUAUUCCCCCCCCCUCCCUUCUUACCUUUAGCCUGGGAGGGGGGGUCCGGCACGCUGGCAGGCGGGGUGGAGCUGUUCCCUGGUGGUCCUCGUGGGUGAGUGAACUCUAGCCAGCAUAGCCUGUGAGGCUAGAGUUCACUCUCGCGAGAUCCGGUCGUUGCCAUGGCAACGCGCCGGAUCUCGCGAGAGGAACCCGGCGGAGCUGCAAAUUAGAGCUCCGCCGGGUCCUCUCUCCAGCCUGGCUGGUUGGCUCCCUCUCUCCCCGCCGGCGGCCGCAUGUGGGCCGGUCAGGGAGAUCCUUGAUCUCCCCACUGGCCCGUCGUGGAAAACAGCGGGGCCGGCGCUAGGAGAGUGCCGGCCCUGCAUAGACCGGCAGGGGAGAUCCUGGGACCUCCCCUGCCGGCCUCGGCCCCACGGCCACCGCGGCCCACCGGGCAUUUGCCCGGUGUGCCCGAUGGCCAGUCCGGGCCUGAUUUCCAGUUAAAAAAGAUAUAAAGCAAACAUAUAAAGGUAUAAUACAAACAUAAGAAACAAGCGUCACCAUACUUUAGUGGUAUACAAUAGUCAAUUGCAACUGAGCAGAUGGGUCCCCUGUGGUUAGGCCAUUAGGUUACAGUGUGGGUCCCCUUAUGUGUCCCCAUGAGGUCCCCUCUUUUCUUUUCUCCUCAGUCGUGGGUGUCGUCCCUGUCCCACUAUUCGUUAGGUGUCUCUCCUGUUCUAUAGUGUGGUACAUGUGCCUGCUAACCCUUGCCCUUCUUCACUUCCUCCUCUCCUUUAGUCUCUUUUUCGUCACUUUUGUAUUCGGGUCACCCAGUUGUCUCUCAAUGUGUCCCCCGCUGCUAAUUGGCGGGGCAUAUCCGUGGACUGUCCCCUUGCAGUCAUAUUAAUGGGUUGAGAGGUCCCCCGAAUCCUGUGGUGGUUGUAGUGCCUGAUCGUGUUUCUGGUCCGUGUUUGUCACCCACUGGUGUCAUGUCCAUCUCCCCCGUUCCCUCUUCUGUGUUUCUCACGAAGGCCUUCUCCCCCGUCCAUUUUGUACCCCCGCUGUGGUCCCCCUCUAUCUUAGGUAGUUAGUGCCCGUGUCUCGGACCCGGGUGGGUAUGCUGGCAGCUCAGAUGGGUGACGUAGAACCCUACAGUCAGAUGCGGCCCGCCCGUGACACAUAUGGAGUGAGGCCAUAAACAUAAACAAUCAAGACAUAUUGGUAUGACACGUUUGCAGCUCCUGCGGGGCUGAGAAUGCCCAAUUAGGUAGAACUCCCUGACAGCACAAGUAGAGUGAGGAAUAUAUCAGUUAGCAUAACUCUCUAGCUACUCGCUUAGGACUAGGAAUUCACAAUUUGGUACAGCAUGGCAUCGCUUCGUGUAAAGUUAAGACUCUUUUUGGUACCACAUACUAGCUGCUCUUGUGGGGUUGAUUAAAAACAGGUUGGGCCAACCCUCGGACAGCUCAUAUAGAGUGAAUGGUAUGCAUGUUAGCAUAACAUUCUCGCAGCUCGCCUAAAGUUAAAAAAUAAACAGUUUUGAGUAGUAUAUCAUCUUCUUUAGGGCCGCCCUUGGACAGCUGGUGCAGAGUUAAAGAUAUGCAUAUUGGUAUAGCUCUCUCGCCUAGAAUUUACCGUGAACAGUUUAAAGUAACCCCUCGUGUGGAGUUUGAAAAAACAAAACAAAAAAAAACCAACUAUAUGGUAUAACCUUGUAACAUCUCGUAUGAAGUUUAAGAUCUGGUGACCUGUAAUGUCUCAAUGUCUCAUGUAGAGUUUAAAGUCUUGCAGUCUGGUGGUUUGCAGUAGCAGUUCAUAUGGGGUAAGGGCAGUCCUUUCGGCUGCGAUCUCUCUUCAGGGCUAUCCGCACUAUGGAGGUUGCUUUUGUGUAGACUGCCGUUCUGCCGCCACCAUGCCAGUUUUUUCUCCCCUCUCGGUGGGGAGUUUCUCCGUGGGGUGAGCUCGGUUCUCUCCUAGUGGAUCAGGCUGCAGCUGCGGUAACUGAAGUCGCCUCAGAAAGUGCGUGGGGUCAUCUGUGACGGAGAGCGAAAGCACCGCUUCCCCGUGUGAUACCACCAGGGUACCCGACUCUCCCCAACUGUACCUGAUUCCGUGGUCUCUGAGCAGUUUGGUGGUUGGCAUGAAUUUGCGUCUCUCCAACAGGACCGCAAACUAUAAGUCGUCAAAGAUUCUGACUUGGUAGCUAUCCACAGCGGAUCGCCGUUUUCAACGCUGUGCUCUGAGUGACAGCGAUUAUGUCCCUAGGAGCGUCCACUGGGGCCGUCGCGGCCUCUCGGAUCCGGAAUGCCAUCGCCAUAAACGGCAGCCCUCCCUCUCCCCUCACCUCCAUCACUGUAGCCAGUUUGUUAGCGAACUCCAGCACCGCUUCAGGCCCUACUGUUUCGGGCACCCCACGGAUGCAUAUAUUUUUCUUGCGGUGUCUAGCCUCCAUGGCCGUGACGGUACGGGUGAGUCGCUGGAGCUGCUGGGAGAGGUCCUCUACAUUAGCUCGGGUCUCUGCGAGGGUGUUAUUCCUCAUCUCGGGUCUCUACUGCUCCAAUGAGGGCCUUGAUGCCGCCUAGUUCUCCGCGGACCUCAUCCAGGACCUUCUUCCAGACUCCUCUGAGCUCGAGCAGGAGCCUUUUUUUUUUUCAAUUUGACAAUUUUUAUUUGUCUUUCAUAGGAUGAUGGGGUACAGAAGGAAAAGUGGGAUGGGGUAAACAUUAAUACAUGCAUAAUAAAAUGAUACAGAGGAGGUGUUGUAAUAUUGAUUAUUCAUUUGACACACUAGGCAUAUUUAGGUGUUUUUCUGUUGUACGUCUUACACAGUUGGUUGCUUAGUGGUCUUUGUCUAGGAACAUUCCUGUCUAGUGGUGGAGGACCCACUCCAUUAUGUUUCGGUGUCCGCUCUCAUUAUACUAGGGGGUGUAUAGUUUGAUUAUCGAGCAAGGGGAUCAUUAUGUGUCAGAUGUGACCCGAGCGUUGCAAUUAGAUUAGGACAGUUUCACCUUAUAGCGUGAGAAUCUUCUCCCCUAAAUUUGUUGUGUGUUUUUUUUUUUUUUUCAGGUUUGUAUUGUUUAUGCAUACAAUAUAGCGGGGGGUACAGAAAAGAAGAAGGGGAGGGUGAGCGGUUAGGGUACAUUAGUCAUCUUCAUAUUUAUACAUGUUAGACAGUCCUAAUGAGCUUGAUCUUAUAUGGGUGGAGUUUUGUUACUAGUGGGGUGGGUCGGGGUCCAGCCAUUCGACCGAGCAGGAGCCUUUUGAUAUCCCCUUUGGUAGAGGGUGAUGUAUCUGAAUCAGAGUCAUCUCUCCUGUAUAUACCACUAGGGGCUUGUGUUGAUUCUGGUGCCUCCUCGUCCGGGGACAUCUCUGACUCACUGGAGCCUCGAGGCCUGCUAGGCGCCAUCUUAGGCUGUGCUGGCUGUUGCGGCCUAUCGAACGACCACCUAAUGUCUGGCAUUUUGGAAGCCUCAGAAGCAAGCAUGUUUGCGCCCCAUCUCUCUUUUGUUGGGUUCAGGGUUGCCAGGAGCCUGGUUGUGGCGUUAGUCUGCAGGCUUUUCGUUGCCUUUUAAUGUGUUUUUUUAGUUGAUUUUCCAGGAGCUCCCUGUACACACGUCUGCUUAGAUGCUCAGCUAGCCACGCCCCCCCAAGGCUUUACUUUUAACAUCAAAUAUUUAGCUAUGAAACAUGAUUUAAUAUGAAUAAAAUAUAAAAAAAAAUGUAAGAAAUUAAGAAAUAUUAUUUUUUUAGUUCUGCGUGACAUUUUAACUGUGAAUGUCAUAUGCUUUUACUGCAAUAAAAUACACAUAUUUAUAUUCAGCGAUGUCUCCUGUGUAAAACAGUACCCCCUAUGUACAGGUUUUAUGGUGUUUUGGGAAGUUGCAGGGUCCAAUAUAGCAUUUUACAUUUUUCAGUUUUUUCACAUUGAAAUUCGCUAGGUUGGUUAUGUUGCCUUUGAGACCGUAUGGUAGCCCAGGAAUGAGAAUUACCCCCAUUAUGGCAUACCAUUUUCAAAAGUAGACAACCCAAGGUAUGUAUAUUAUCAAAAUACAGUUAGAUGAAAUUACACACACACACACAUAUAUAUAUAUAUAUAUAUAUAUAUAUAUAUAUUCUAAUUAUUUAUUUUUAAUUUUUAACAUAUUUAUAUAUUUAUUUAAUUUAUAUUAUAGUUAUAUAUAAUUAUAUAUAUAUAUAUAUUUAAUUAAUAUCAUUCUACGUGUAUUUUGAUAUCAAAAUAAAUAUAUAUAUGUGUGUGUGUAUAUUAUUAAAAUACACUUACAGUGUAUGUGUAUAUAUAUAUACUUAGAUCAUAUACAUAAUAUAUUUAUAUAUAUAUAUAUAUAUAUAUAUAUGAUCUAAGUAUAUAUUGUUUUAUUUUAAACUGUAUUUUAACUUUAUUUUAAUUUAUUUCAGGCAGCAGGGGGACUACCUGUCAUUCCAGGCACUCCCCCUGCUGGCACUGCUAUGGACGGCUAUUCCAUCCAUGUGAUUGUGAGGUCCUCGCAAGGACCCUCACGAUCACAUGGCCCAGGAGGGCCAGAUCAGAUGUAGGGGGACUGCUUGGGAUGCCAGACAAGUCCCCCCCAGGUAAGUGGCCAGGACGGGAGAGACACCCACCGGCGUUUAGAGCCAGGUCCUCAAGGAAGGCAUAGCAUGCCCGCCAUCCUUAAAGGGUUAAUAAAGUUGUUGUUUUGUUUGUUUUGUUCUAUAUUAAUUCUUAGCAACUUUAGUAUGGGGAAGUUACCCUGUGUAGCGGUACUUACCUUAUCGGGGGGCAGGCCGAGGUCUUCAGUUCCCGCCGCACGCGGCUCGCUCGGGGCUCGGAUGACGGCGGGCACUGACCGCGGGAUGCGGUCACGUGUCCCGCCUAGCUCCAAGAGCGCACCCCGCGUCUCGGGCACGCUCUUAAAGGGAAAGUGGAAGCCGAAAACUAAAGUGGUCUCCCAUUUUGGGGGCGUGGAUAUGACAGGGGCCAAUCAAAUUAAAUGCAAGGGUAUUUAUACUUACCUCUCCCUUAACUCCCUGCCCUAUCGUGGUUUCUGUUUCAGUUCCCUUUAGCGCUUGUUUUGUUCAGUUGUAAUUUUUCGUACUUGACCUUGGCUUUGUAUCUGACUCCAUUUAUCUCUUUAUCCCUGUUUUGUCUUGUUUGCCGGCUUACUGAUUACUGUGUACCAGACCUUGGCUAGUUCUUGUUUUCGCUGUCUCUUUGUACCCUUGACCUCGGAUCGUUCUUGACUCUGUAUUUCUCUGCUCUACGUCGAGUCCGGCCAUUCUAAGGUCCGGUAAGACGUAUCUGCUCUAUAUUGUCAAUUGUUGGACUAAAUCUUGCGAGUUGGGGUAAACUACCGUGACACCCUGCCAAGCUCACUUAUAAGAAACAUCUUUUUGCCUUACUCUUAAGUUUUCUGACUAAUUAGGGGAUUAUACCCCCCAUUUAUUUUUGUGUUUCAUUUCUGAUUUUUUGUAAGCUCCACUAGUUCUUUUCAGAUUGAAAACAUACCAGAGCACCAACGUGCAUGCAAAACCGUGGGGCCCUGUUUCUAACCUUCUUUUGUAGGAGAAUAUGGCUAGCUCUAAGUAAAGCCAUGGGGGCGGGUUUAACUAUUUGCCGUGGGAUGGCACCAUAACCACUAAUGUGGGCUGUAGUGGUUAUGUGGCAUGGAGUGUUUUUUGAUGUUUUACUGUUGUUAUGUUAACAUAGCACAGCUAAAUGAUUAUGAUAUAGAUAGUAGCAAGAUAUGCUAGGAUUGAAAAGCACUAUGGUUAUAGCUCUUACAAAUGUGAGUUGGCACUUUUUUACCUCAGGGUUGUCUGUAACGAAAAAAAUUGACAAAGCAGAAUGAAAAAUAAAGGACAAACAAAGACUGGAUUCCAGUACACAUUCAGGUUACUGAGUCACUAAUUCCCUUAGGGACGAAAGGGUUGACUCUGGAGACGGCCCAGGUAUGACUUGUGCCCGGUGUGUCGGCCUGCUCCUGCAGGUUUAGUGCGUGGAGGAAGGCCGGUCCCUCUGAGGGUCCUAGGGCUUUAAAAAGCCUUUCCGUUUUGGAUGACCAUGAGAUCUCUGGGGAAGGACCACCGGUAAGGGAGUCCAGCAGCUUUUAGGGUUUUUGUUAUUGGCUGCAUGGAUUUUCGCCACAGUAAAGUGGCUCUGCUUAAAGGACCACUCUAGGCACCCAGACCACUUCAGCUUAAUGAAGUGGUCUGGGUGCCAGGUCCAGCUAGGGUUAACCCAUUUUUUCAUAAACAUAGCAGUUUCAGAGAAACUGCUAUGUUUAUGAAUGGGUUAAGCCUUCCCCUAUUUCCUCUAGCAGCUGUCUCAUUGACAGCCGCUAGAGGCGCUUGCGUGCUUCUCACUGUGAUUUUCACGCGUGCGCAUUCAGCCGAUGGGGAGGAGAAGAGGAGGAUCGGAGGAGGAGAGCUCUCCGCCCAGCGCUGGAAAAAGGUACGUUUUAACCCCUUUCCCCUUUCCAGAGCCGGGCGGGAGGGGGUCCCUGAGGGUGGGGGCACCCUCAGGGCACUAUAGUGCCAGGAAAACGAGUAUGUUUUCCUGGCACUAUAGUGGUCCUUUAAGUCCUGGAAGAAUCGUGUUUGCGAUUCAAAUUGUAGUGGAAUCUUCCCCUUUGGGGCACUGAGGAGCCUUUGCUUCUCGGCAAGGGUUUGGCAACACAUGAUGUCGCAGGGAGCCUUAUUCGGUGCUUGCGAGGAUUUGGCUAUUCGAUAUACUCCGUCAAAGGCAGAUUAUGUAGCAUUUUUUGCAGGUAAGACUGAGGAGGCUAGGCGUCUGACGAAGUGGGUACGUUCCUCAGGUGGGAGUGAGUCCACCACUCCACGGAUCUUAAUAUUUCUAUUCUGCUCUCUGUCCUCUAACUGUGCCAUCUGAAUACUUUGGUGUGAUUGUGCGGCUUGAAGUAGUUGCACUGUCUCACUCAUGGAAGUCAGUCCCUGCUUCAGAUCGUGAAGGUCUGCCUCGGUUGUUUGUACCCUGUUUGUUACUGUUUGUACGGCCCUUAUCUGAACAGAGAACAUUUGUGUGAUGUUGUCGUGCGGUAACACUUCCGGGUUCGGCACUCCGCUGUGCGGAGCCGGAUCCGCCCCCCUCUGACGCAGCUCUGACGGUAUUUAGGGAGACCGCGCCAGAGAGAGGGGGCUUGGUGAGACUGGGAGCUACUUCCACCAGACUUACCUCUCCGCAGGCUCUGGCAAUGUGGGUCCUACUUCCGAGUAUGCACACCGGCUUCGGGGACACGCCGGCUCUACAAGCUCUGAAGUCGUCCUAGCCUUCUGGGCUAAGACAAGUCUGCUUCAUGCCACAGAGGAUUACUGGAGAAUAGAAACUCACUUACUUUACAAGUGGACAAUAUCUCUGAACUAUUGGAGGACUACUCACAUUAACCUUAAGUAUAUCUUUCAGCUAUUUGUCUACAAUAUCAUUUGAUAAUGAACUAAUGCUUGCUUACUUAAAUCUUCACUGCUUCAAGCUACUAAUUAUAUGGAGGACAACUCCCAUCAUGCUUAUUAACUAUGAACUGUUCCAGCUUUUCAAAUACUCUCAACAACUUGCUUAAAGUUAUUUUUGAAGAUUAUUCUCAUGAACUUAAAGAAUGUUACUUAAUGCAUCCCUGAGGAAAUACUUAUUAAUGAACUUUGUGUUGUUGAUUACUUGCACUUCUUCUUAUUGGAUUAUUGCCUAAAUGCAAUCCAUUUAAGUUUAACACUUAUUAAAACUUCGUUUGAAUCAGGUUACCAGCAAUUCUCUCUUUUCUUAAAGCUACAGUAUUGAUACUUUAAAGAUUCUCUGUUUCUUCACUAUUGUAAUUAGGGAGUUUUACAAGCUGCAGUUGAGUUCCAAUCCAAAUCACCCAAGUAGCGUAACAGAUGUGUACUAGCAGGUUAUAUAUGUCCUGCUUGGUGGACAGUGCGUUACCAUCAGCUAUUGCCGGGCCUCUGGCAUGGAGAGCAUCUCUGCACAUGGGUCGCUUGCGGUUUCAGGGCUUGGUGGUGUUGCCUCUCUGAUUCUGGAUGUCAGCAUUUGACUGAUGUCCUGGCCCUCUCUGGUGGAGGAUUGGGCCGGUUUCUGUGAUUUCCACCGUUGGAGAGGUGUGGCUGCAGUAUUCAGGGGUUGCAAUACUCUCUGGGCCUUUCCCGUAGGUGGCACUGUGCAGCCGCAGGCUUCUUAUGCAAUUGGCCCGAAGACCUCUAAGCCGGUUUUUACCAAUCAUGAGAAAAAUUAAGGGCAUCUGCUGAUUCGGUAUCACCUCCCUGAGUUGUUGGAGGUAGUUACACAUUGUAGUCUUUAUUUUCUGCAGUGUUAGGGGAGAUUAUGUCCAGGUUGUUCUCGUAUCUUUGGGAAGGUGCGUCUGCCUUGGAGCACUGCAAAGCUCUGCCCCAGACAGUCGCCAUUUUAAAUGGUUGAGUUGGCUAAGAGGAGUUGCGAGAUUAGCUCAAAGCACCAGGUAAAUGCUGCUGAAAGCUGGGGCUCCCGAAAGAGUAAAAUAACAAUCAAAGUCUCCCUUUGUAUGUCUGGGGAUCCCCAAUCAGCAUAGCCCCUUUUAGCAGGUGAAAUAGCUCCUUGGCUAUGAUUAGCAACCCCAACUCAGCUACAUAAUCAGGAGCUCAGGCGAUGCAUGUCUGUUCUGCUUAAGGGGCUAGAUUCCUCCCUCCCCAAAACAUUUUAAUCUGGCAAUGUUUCAACCCAAAUUGGUCUAUGUCAAGCCAUGGUUACUGCCAGGUUUACUGUUUCAUGAUGGAAAAAAUAAUCUUUGAAAAUUGACUUUUAGUGUUGUGACUUUUUAUAUCUUUAGUCCCUUAAUCCAUGCAUGUGAAAUACAGAAAAGUAUGGAAAAGUAAAGUUAAUGGCUAUUUUAACUUUUUCAUUUUCCUUUUCCAUUUCCUUCAAUUCACUUUUUAGUAAAUAUACCUUUUAGUAACAGUUUCUAGUGUAGUGAUGUACCUCACUACAAUGGCCAUUUGAAUAAACAUUCCAGCUUCCUCUGUAGGAUAAAAUAGUUACAUCACAGAUACAUUUUGAUCCUGAUUACAGUUUCAUCUGCAGCAUACCAACAUUCUUCAUUGUUCUGUUAUGCAAUGUUGUUUAAAUCUUUUUUUUACAUCUCUCUGUUUUUCUUCCAAGUUGUUAUAUAAAAAAAAAAGGGGACUGACACCUUUGCAUUAAUGGUUCAAUCUAAUGGCUAACUAAAAUCUAAAAUUCUUUUCAUUUUAAAGUUUAUUGCAGAUUUUAAGCUUGAGACACUGCUGCGGUGCUGCUGUCAUUUCAGGACGGAUGAAUCCUGCAUGGAAACAUUUUAAAAGAUCACGUGUAACAAGAAAAGAAAGGAGUGCAAUAUAUUUAUUACAUUUACUGAAACAAGUAUAUAAUCUCAUAUUGUCCUUGUACAGCCUGGUCUGCAGGGCAAGUAUUUAAAGGUCUAUUAUUCAUAUGCACAUACACAAAAGAGCGUAAGGCUCUAGUGCAGUAGGAAUCCAUUGAAACUAUAUUUUCAGACAGGGCUGGCAAUCAGAUUUGUUGGGGCCCCUUACACAGUCAACCAGCCUGCCCACAAAGAUGCAGUGUGAGUUUAGUGAAUGUGGUGUGUGUGGUGAAUUUAGGAUGUGUAUAGUGGAUGCAGCAGUGCAAAUUAAGUUAAUUAUCUUAAUUUAUUUCUAUGCAGCUAUUAAAUCCCAAGUGUGCUGUAUAUAAUUCUGCCCUUCUCCCUUCACAGGAAGAGGACAUCAUUUUGACAAACUGAUGCACUAUCAAGUGAUGAACCUGUGUAGUUCCCAUACGUAUUUUUUUUUAGGACUUAACCCAUAGAUAUGUAGGAAAAAGAACAAUUGUACUCAUGCCUUCAUUAUCCAUCAUAGAAAAAUGUCCUACUACCAUAUAGGGCAGCAGAAAUAAAUGUAUUUGUUCUCAAUUCUACCCAUCAUAUGCAUGAAAUUUAUUUACUGUGUAGUGUAGUUUACUGAUGUGUGCUGUUAGUUCAAAUGUAGGUCCCAAUUUGAUUUAAAUAUCCUUUAUAAAGUUUCAGUAAUAAACAAUCAUUUUGUGUAAUGGAGACACAUUUAUUUCUUUAGCUUUAUUUAGUAUUUUUCUGAGGGGGAAUAAAAUAUGAGACAUCAACACAACGGCAUGUGUCUCUAGUUAGGUUUAAAUUCCAACUCCUGGUUAGAAGAACUGGUGCAAGAGAAUAUUUGAUGGAGGUCUGAAAAACUCAAGUUGCACAAAAAUACAUUAGUAUAUCGUAUGCGCAACUUGUCAAAAUCAAAGUGAAACAUCCAGUUCAAGCAUCAAGCAUUUAAAAAUCAGAUAUUGCUAGUGUAAUAGAUCCCUGACAGUAACACUGUCUCUGUUUCCAUUGCUGUGUGAAUAUUGUGUGCAAUACCUAAAUGUUGCUAGCUAGGGAAUUUGUAUGUAUUUACACAUAUCUACAUACCAUGGCAAUUGCGGUCAAAACUUGGUAAAAUGUAUUAAUUGUUCUCCUGAUCCCCUACCCAUCCUUUUGAAAAGUGAUAGUUUAUUGCAUAGCUGUUACCUAUGUGCAAUUAUAUUGUUUUGGUUGUGUCACCAUGAGUUGAAUGUUGUUUUGUUGGAGGCUAGUCCUCGUGUUCAAUAAAAUAUUUUGUUUAUAUAGUUGUUUUUCCUACUCAGCAGGUGUGUUUUCUCUGUUAUUUGGGCGGCAUUGUGAUAGAGUUUGUAAACAUGUGUACUGAGAGCUUAAUCGCUGGGGCCUGUAAGCCAAAAGUGUCUUUGUAAAGACAGCGUUGGGAGCAGCCAGAGUAAUUAGUUACUGCCUGGAAGAAGGAUUGAGCAAAGUAGGUUAUAUGUUCUUGUUGGCAAGCCCUUAUCCUGAAACAUUGUGGUGGUGGUGGUGGUGGUGGUGAUGUAUGGAACAGACAGUGUGGUGGGACAGAUUUAAUCUGUUCUGGUUACAGCCCAUAACAUCAAACUGUGUCACUAACCAACUGAGAGGAAAGUAUAAAACUACAGUUCAAUCAAGUACUUGUUUGUCAAGCUAAAGCAAAGUGCUUGUGGCAGAGGUUAUAGUACAGAGAAGAAGAAGUAAGAAUGUACACCUGAGGUACAAAAAAAGAAUGUUAGAGAAGAGAGUUACAUACACACAAAUGGGCAGAGGAGGACCCAGAGAGUAGGGGAAGAGAGGAAGGAGCAGACAGAGAGCUUUAACCAGAGUUUUAUAAGCCUCAGACUCCCAGAUCACAUGGCUGGACUCCAGGGAAGCCACCCUCCUGCACCCAAUAGGUAUGGAAACAGGGGGUGGCUAAAAUAUGUAAGUUAUGUUUUAGUUAGUAUGCAUAUAUCUGUCUGUGUCAAUGUAUGUCGGUGUCAAAAUGUGCGUCUCUGUGUGUCAGUCUGUUAAGUAUCUGUGUAAGAAUAUGUAUGUCUGUGCAGGGCCGGCCUUAGGCCUUUAGGCGCCCUGUGCGAAAAACCUUCACAGCUCCCCCCCCUGUCAUCCAUGUAUAGUAUGUGUGUAUAGGAAUGUAGUGAUUGUAUAGGGGAUUUAUUAAAUUAAUAAUGAUUUAAAAACAAAUAUUCAUUCCUCCUUUCCUGUUGUUACCAUAGGCGUGCGCAGCCUAUUGCAUUAGGGUGUGCACCCUAAAGCACAAGCACACGGCGCAUAUAUAUAUGUAUGUAAAUACAUGUUUAUAUAUAUCAGAACAGGGGGUAGAGUCAGCGCUAAUCGGGAAGGCAGCAGUCCCAAACAAGGACUCCCUCUAGUGUCCUUGAAAAUCAAUGAUAAAGAGCAAGAAAGGAUGAGGGGAUGGGUCUGCGCCGAUGUGUACACUGAGUAUUGAGUCCAAUAGGAUGUAUAUUAUCGUGUACAAAGUUCUACUUUUGGUGGUAUCCAGAAGAUGUCGGUGUCGUGGAGAGUAGUCCAAAUAUGUGAAAAAUAGGAAAGAUCUUACUUACAAUUUGCAGAGCUUAAUCCAGCUCUGGUGUGGAUAGCUUGCAGCGGUAUUAUCCCCGCUUAUAGGAUAUACGGCAGGUGUCCUCUUCUUUGUAGUGCCGGGUGGUCGAAGUUGGGAAAAAUAAAAUAAAAACAGUAAUGGUGCAGUAUAUUCUACACUUGUAUAAAAAAUUAUAUAAAAUAUGAUGGAUACACUCACAUUCGGUAGAGCUUUGACUAGCUCUAGUUGGUUAGGCGUACAGCGGUAUCAUCCCCGCUUCUAGGAUAUAUGAUGAGUGAUCUUGACCGGAAUAUCAGGAGCUCAGAGAGAAAGUAAAACAGCAAUAGUGCUCUCAAUAAAAUCUUGAUAAUAAAAUAAAAUAGAUAAAAUAUACUCACAAUGUAUAGGGCAGGCUAACUGCUCUAUGUAACAGCGUGGGUGGUAUGAUCCCCACCUGGGAUUCUUGGAGUAUAGUUUUCAGGACUUUAAAAAAAUAAUAAAAGAAGUAUAUAGUAUAAAAUGUAUAUAAAACGUAUAUAAAAUGUUUAUAAAAUAGCCAGGUAAUAGAAAAGAUGAUGGUUUAAACGUAAAAAUGACCAAAAUCUUUUAUUAACAGUAUAUAAAACAGUAAAAAUAUCCAAACGCGUUUCGCCAAUAUAGGGCUUUAUCAAUGNNNNNNNNNNNNNNNNNNNNNNNNNNNNNNNNNNNNNNNNNNNNNNNNNNNNNNNNNNNNNNNNNNNNNNNNNNNNNNNNNNNNNNNNNNNNNNNNNNNNUGUCUGUGUAGUGUGUGUAUGUAAUGCAGUGUGUGUGCCUGUGUAGUGUGUAUGUAAUGCAGUGUGUGUAUGUAAUGCAGUAUGUGUGCAGUGUGUGUUUGUGUAGUGUGUGUUUGUGUAGUGAUGUAAUUUGUGUAAUUUUUAUUUUAAUUUUUUUUAAUAUUUAAAUGUUUUUUUUUUUGUUUAGUCCCCCCCCAGUGUGUGUUUGUGUAGUGUGUGUUUGUGUAGUGUGUAUGUAAUGCAGUAUGUGUGCAGUGUGUGUGUAGUGAUGUAAUUUGUGUAAUUUUUUAUUUUAAUAUUUUUUUAAUAUUGAAAUGUUUUUUGUUUAGUCCCCCCUCCCUGCUUCUUACCAGGGAGGGGGAUAUAGUAUUCCCUGGUCCAGUGGUUUUGAGCGGCACAGUGGUUAGCGGGAUUAUUUGUGCAGCUCAGUCUGCGUACCCGUCGGUACGCUGCUGAGCGCCGCUGCUGGCGGUCUGCGGGUAACGCCUUCAAGGCCAGCGUCUCGCGAGAUUUAUACAGAGCUGCAGGAGCUAAGCAGGUGGGUGCCGCGCUUUGCUGCUGAGCCUACAGGACCGCCGGGUUUGUGGGCCGGGCCCGGCGGUCCUGUUAUAUAUUAUCGGCAAUAUCGGUAUCUGAAUUGGCCGAUACCGAUAUUGCCGAAAAUACCAAAUAUCGGCCGAUAAUAUCGGCCAGACCGAUAAUCGGUCGAUCCCUACUGUGUAUGUGUGUUGGUGCUGUAUGUGUGUGGGUGCUGUAUGUGUGUGCUGUAUGUCUGUGGGUGCUGUAUGUCUGUGGGUGCUGUGUAUAUGUGUAGGUGCUGUGUAUGUCUAUUGGUGCUGUAUGUGUGUGGGUGCUGUGUAUGUCUGUGGAUGCUGUAUGUGUGUGCUGUAUGUGUGUAGGUGCUGUGUAUGUCUGUGGGUGCUGUAUGUGUGUAGGUGCUGUAUGUCUGUGGGUGCAGUGUGUGUGUGUGUGGGUGCUGUGUAUGUCUGUGGGUGCGGUGUGUGUGUGUAGGUGCUGUGUAUGUCUGUGGGUGCUGUAUGUGUGUAGGUGCUGUGUAUGUCUGUGGGUGCUGUAUAUGUCUGUGUGUGCUGUAUGUGAGGGUGUGUGUGCUGUAUGUGUGUGGGUGAUUGUGGGGGUGGAGGUGGGGGAACAUUACUUGCUAUCCCCCCUCCCUUCUUACCUUAUGCCUGGGAGGUGGGAUCCUUGUUCCUGCUGCUUCCAUCCCUGGUGGUCCAGUGGAGAGUGAACUCUAGCCCCUGUGGGGCUAGAGUUCACUCUCGCAAGAUUUGAGCAUUGCCGUGGCAACGCUCAUAUCUCGCGAGAGGAACCCGGCGGAGCUACUGGCAAGAGCUCCGCCGGUCCUCUCCUGCCUCCCUCCCUGCAUGUGGGUCGGUAGGGAGGGAGGCUGAGAGCAGAGCCGGCGCUUGGAUAGCGUCGGCUCUGCAUGAGCCGACGGGGGAUCCUGAGAUCUCCCCUGCCAGUCUCAAUAUACAUAGGCCCAGGCACACCCCGUGCGCACGCCUAUGGUUGUUACCUAGUUUGGAGAGGGGCAUGCUGAUCUGAAUCUGGUCUGCCCCUCCACUGAGUGCAGACCAUGCGUAACUGUCUCGCAAGCUUAGGGACUUGCAGUGUCCUGUGGUAAUCUAUGGCAGCACUCUGAUUGGCCCGAGCUAGUAAGACCGCUACUUAUGGUCUGCAGCCAACAGAAGUGCAGGUCAGAAGUGCCAGACUGCCUCCCCUACAUUACAGAGGAGCAGACUAAGUAUGUCACACAAUACUGUGUGUGGUUUUGCUUGUGAGCUGUGGAUUAUACUUAUUUACCUUGACCUCUUUGGAAUAAAAAUUUGUAGUAAUGCGCUGUUUCUCCAUUUAUCACUGAGCUCCACAGAAACAAAAAGCCCUCACAGUACUAUGUGGUGUGUGCCGGUUUAUUACAGAACUCCACAACAAUAAAACUCACGGUAAUGUGGAACUCUGUGACAAGCUCAAACACUACACAACAAUACAACUCCAAGUAAUGUGCCUAUUAGUGUAUCACCGAGCUCCCUAACUAUAAAACACAGAGUAAUGUGCAUUUUAUAUACCAGAGCUCCACUGUAAUACAUCUCACUAUAAUGUGAUGUAAUGUUUGUGUUUUAUCUGUGUAUGUGACAGGUGUGAUGACUGUGUGUGAUAUGUAUGCCAGUGGCAGAUCCAGAGCCUGAUCUCGGGAGGGGCACUUGUAGAUUAUUUAAAGAAAUAAUCCAGACACAAUAACCACUACAGCUCAGUGUAGUGGUUAUGGUGUCAAUAGUGCCGGGACCCCCUUCCACAGUAAGUAGUCAAACAGUUUAAGAACAGUUUGACAACUUACCUGAGAUCUGCUGGGAAUGGGGCUGUAGUAGGGCAUAGGAGCAGUGGUGUGUGUGAGUGGUGCAAUGUGUAAGGGGUGCAGUGUGUGUGUGAAGGUUGCAGUGUGUGAGUGAGGGCGGCAGUGUAUGUCAGGGAUGCAGUGUAUGUGUGGGACAGUAUGUGUGUGUAACAGUUGCAGUGUGUGUGUAUGGGGGGCAGUGUGUGUAUGGGGGGGCAGUAUGUGUGUGUAUGGGGGGCAGUAUGUGUGUAUGAGGGGCAGUGCGUGUGUAUGAGGGGCAGUGCGUGUGUAUGAGGGGCAGUUUGUGCGUAUGAGGGCAGUUUGUGUGUAUGGCGGGCAGUUUGUGUGUGUAUGGGGGCAGUGUGUGUGUGUAUGGGGGGCAGUAUGUGUGUAUGUGGGGCAGUAUGUGUGUAUGUGGGGCAGUAUGUGUGUAUGUGGGGAAGUAUGUGUGUAUGGGGGCCAGUGUAUGUGUAUGAGGGGCAGUGUGUGUGUAUGAUGGGCAGUGUGUGUGUAUGAUGGGCAGUGUGUGUGUAUGGGGGCAGUUUGUGUAUGUGGGGGGCAGUGUGUGUGUGGGGGCAGUGUGUGUGGAUGGGGGGCAGUGUGUGUGUGGAUGGGGGGCUGUAUGUGUGUGGGGGCAGUAUGUGUGUAUAGAGGGCUGUAUGUGUGUGUAUAGGGGGCAGUAUGUGUGUAUAGGGGCAGCUUGUGUGAAUGGGGGGGCAGUUUGUGUGAAUGAGGGGCAGUUUGUGUGAAUGGGGGGGGCAGUAUUGGGGGCAAUGUGUGUGUGUGGCUUUUUUUUUUUAUAAUAUAUAUUUUUUUAAUUUAAUUAAAAUAAAUAUCCUAUGUCCCCCCUCCCUUCUUACCUUUACUGGGAGGAGGGGGGACAUAUUUCGAUCCCUGGUGAUCCCAGUGGGGGAUUCCCUGGUGGUCCCAGCGGGGACAGUGAACUCUAGCCCACGCUCCCGGGUUAGAGUUCACUCUCGCGAGAUUUGAAAAGUUGCCGUGGUAACCGCGGCAACGCUUCAAAUCUCGCGAGAGGAGGACCCGGAGGAGCUGCAGGCUGAGCUCCCGGGUCCUCUCUCCCUCCCUCCCUCCCCUGCCGGCUGUAAGCACAGUGCCUGCGGACCGGGGAGGGAGAGCUCUGAUCUCCCCCCGGUCCGCAGGCACAUUGCAGGGCUAGCACCUGCAUGUGCUGCUGGCAGGGGAGGGAGACCGUCGGAUUUCUCGGGGGGGCAAUUGCCCCGUUGCCCCCCCCCUGGAUCCGCCACUGAUGUAUGCUAUGUGUUGGCUAUGUGUGAUAUUUGUAAUGGGUGGAUUGACUGUGUGAUAUGCUUGUAUUGGUCGUAGGUGAUAUUUUUGCUGGGUUAGUUGGCUGUGUGUGAUGGGUAUUUAAUUCAGCUAAAAAUAUGUUUUUAGGCCUAUGUGUGAGUCCCACAGUCAGAUGCACACAGUUAUACAUAUACACUGUUAAAUACAGACACAUGCACACAGUCACAGGCAGAUAGUCACAUACACAGGAUCAGGUAGAAACAUACAGGUACGGGCAGUUACACACAUACACAGUUACAGGCAGAUAAACACAUUCAGAGAAAGGACUGGGGGCACACCCGAGACCUGCAUUUUGCAUGAAAGGUGCUGCCGCAGUGACCAAACUUCAUACAUGAAAAGAAAAAUUAUUUCCGGCGCACUCAGACUACGAAAAAAAAUAUAACACAAAAAGGCUUCUAAAUUUCCUAUCUAAGAAUAAAUAUGGGGAUUUAGUUCCACCAUAUGGCCAUAUGAUGUUAAGCCCACCACUGCUUUCAAAGUACCCCAAUGUUGGUGGGUCCUACGCUAAAAUGUGUGGGACAUUUAGAAGCCUUCUUUGUGUUGUAUUUUUUGUCGCGUGUGUGUAUGAACUCAGCCGUCUGUGUGUGUGUAUGAACUCAGCAGUCUGUGUGUGUGUGUAUGGACUCAGCAGUCUGUGUGUGUGUGUGUGUGUGUAUGGACUCAGCAGUAUGUGAGUGUGUGUAUGGACUCAGCAGUGUAUGUAUGUGUGUGGACUCAGCAGUCUGUGUGUGUGUGUUUAUGGACUCAGCAGUGUGUGUCUGUGUGUGGAUUCAGCAGUCUGUGUGUGUGUGUGUGUAUGGACUCAGCAGUCUGUGUGUGUAUGGACAGAGCAGUUUGUGUGGGUACGGACUCGGCAGAGUCUGUGUGUGUGUGUGUGUGUAUUUACUCAGCAGUCUGUGAGUGUGUAUGGACUCGGCAGUCUGUGUGUGUGUGUGCAUGGACUCAGCAGUCUCUGUGUGUGUGUAUAUGUGUGUAUGGACAUAGCAGUCUGUGUGUAUGUAUGUGUGUGUAUGGACUCAGCAGUCUAUGUGUGUGUGCAUGGACUCAGCAGUCUGUGUGUGUGUAUGUGUGUGUAUGGACUCAGCAGUCUGUGUGUGUGUGUAUGGACUCAGCAGUCUGUGUGUGUGUGUAUGGACUCAGCAGUAUGUGAGUGUGUGUAUGGACUCAGCAGUGUAUGUAUGUGUGUGUGUGGACUCAGCAGUCUGUGUGUGUGUGUGUUUAUGGACUCAGCAGUGUGUGUCUGUGUGUGGAUUCAGCAGUCUGUGUGUGUGUGUAUGGACUCAGCAGUCUGUGUGUGUAUGGACAGAGCAGUCUGUGUGGGUACGGACUCGGCAGAGUCUGUGUGUGUGUGUGUGUGUGUAUUUACUCAGCAGUCUGUGAGUGUGUAUGGACUUGGCAGUCUGUGUGUGUGUGCAUGGACUCAGCAGUCUCUGUGUGUGUGUAUAUGUGUGUAUGGACAUAGCAGUCUGUGUGUAUGUAUGUGUGUGUAUGGACUCAGCAGUCUAUGUGUGUGUGCAUGGACUCAGCAGUCUGUGUGUAUGUAUGUGUGUGUGUGUAUGGACUCAGCAGUCUGUGUGUGUGUAUGGACUCAGCAGUCUCUGUGUGUGUGUGUAUGGACUCAGCAGUCUGUGUGUGUGUGUGGACUCAGCACGUGUGUGUGUAUGGACUCAGCAGUGUGUGUCUGUGUGUGGACUCAGCAGUCUGUGUGUGUGUGUGUGUGUGUAUGGACUCAGCAGUCUGUGUGUGUAUGGACUCAGCAGUCUAUCAAUAAUUAAAAUUCCUGUGAGUUGUUGUGUAGGAAGGGCCCCAGUGCAUUGCUUUGCCCGGGAGCCCUUAACUCUGUUAAAAUGGUACUGACUGUGUCAGUGAGCUUCUAUUUAGUGAGCAUGUGUGUGUCAGUGAGCUUGUGUGUGUGUCUGAACUUCUUUGUAGUGAGCCUUCUGUUUAUACAAGUGAGUUUGUCUGUAGUAAGCUUGUGUGUGAGUCAGAGAGUUUUGUCUGUCAGUACGCCUAUUUGCGCAUGUAAGUGAGCUUGUGUGCUUACUGUACUAUAUAUAUAUAUAUAUAUAUAUAUAUAUAUAUUGACUUGUAGGAAUGGCACAAUUUUUUUUUCCAGGGCUGCUUUGGAUUCCCAGUUUGGCUCUGCCAGCGAGUGCACUUUACUGCUGAAUCAUCUGUGUGAGCUGCUGCACACUUUAGCCCUGUUACACGCGUCUGGGAGCUGCUGUUGACAGGUACUAGUAGUCUAGAGAUUGGGACAUGGGGUAUAUGCUCAGCUAUCUGUAUAAUACAGAUCUGUGUGUAUAUAAUAUACCGGGAUAGUCAGUGCUUCCUGUAUAGUGCUGCUCUCUGUAUAAUACAGGCCUGUGCCUGUAUAAUAUCCCGGGACAUUCAGUGCUCCCUCUAUAGUGCUGCUCUCUGUCUUGGGAUAUUAUACACAAACAGACCUGUAUUAUACAGAGAGCAGCACUAUACAGGGAGCACUGAGUGUCCCAAUUUAUUUUACACACAACUCUGUAUUAUACAGAGAGCACUGACUGUCCAGGGAUAUUAUACCCAGACAGUAAUUGAUAGCUGUGCUGCAAAAUGUCCUUGGAAAUUUUUUUUAAAUGUUGGCAACUAUGGCACUCUAUCAAGGGUAAUGUGUUUGUUUUUUAAUAAUCCCUGGUGGAAAAUAAUGAAUCCUCCACGAGGGAUUAUUAAAAAAACAAAACACAUUGUGUCGGGGGCGGGGCUUAACAUGCAACAGGGGCGGGGUGAAACUGCGGCGAGGGCGGGGUUAAAUGUGCCCCCCUACUUUUGUUCCUGGCCCUCCAUGUGUCCCCCCUAAAAAUGAAUCCUAGAGACGCCACUGGCUAGAGGCAUUUGCGUGCUUCUUACUGUGAAAAUCACAGUGAGAAGACGCCAGCGUCCAUAGGAAAGCAUUAUGAAUGCUUUCCUAUGAGACUGGCUGAAUGCGCACGCAGCUCCUGCCGCGCAUGCGGAUUUAGCCGAAGAGGAGGAUCGGAGGCGGAGAGGAGGAGGAGAGCUCACUGCCCGGCGCUGGAAAAAAGGUAAGUUUAACCCCUUUCCUCUCCCCAGAGCCCGGCGGGAGUGGGGCCCUGAGGGUGGGGGCACCCUCAGGGCACUAUAGUGCCAGGAAAAACGAGUAUAUUUUCCUGGCACUUUAGUGGUCCUUUAACAGACUCCUAAAAGAACGUCCUUAGGUUAGAAAGUCUGGAGUUCAGAUAAAACACAUUGGCAGAAGUUUGGCACAGUGACGAUACCAUAACUGUGAUUGGUUGUAAACGCAGAAGAAGCCCUUGCAGAGCUUGGAGGUAUACCUGCCUGCCGAGAACGAAUGGUCUAGUAUAGGGGUAGGCAACCUUUGACAUUCCAGAUUCUGUGGACUUCAUCGAGGUGUAAGCAUUGGAGUGCAUGUGCUGGACAGUACACAGGUAGCUUUUAUAACCUGUUGGCUACUACAACGAGGCAUAGUUCCUCGCGCACAGAUUGGGAACUGCUGAUGUGGACUCUUUCAAAUCAUAAUGUCAGUUACCUUAUAGCAGGUUACUGGCUCAUUCCUGUCCCUCUCUAUACACACACUAAGCUCUUGUUGUUUAUUGUUUUUUCUUUUAUAAGCCACUUUUGACCCAAUGUCUUGACUUUUUCAUGUACAUAGCUUUUUUUUUAUUAUACUAGUUAUUCUAGUGAUUUAUAUUUUUGUUGAUACCUGUGAAGGAAUUGAUGACACUGUUUUUUUUUGUUUGUUUGUUUGUUUUUUUAUUGGAAGUGAUAAUUACCUUUAUUUUAGAAAUAUAUUAUUUAAUAUGAAGUAUUGUGUGUUGGAAUUUUGCUCAUUCAUUAAUUUUAGAUUCUCCUGACAUUUUCAAUAAGCUGUACUGUUAGUAGCGCCUGUAGGUUAUUUACCAAGCAAGCUAUUUGAACAUGUUUAUUUAUUUAAUUUUGUCACCCCUUCUGUAUGUAUACUAUUAUAUCACUAUUUCAGAAAUAUUGCAAGAUAAAGGACACUGUAUACUAUCUAAUGUUCUUCAUUCCUCAGAAACGUCAAUACAGGAUGAAAUUAAAUAUAAAAAUUGUAUACAUUUUCAUAAUUUAACUUUUUAAAUUUGUCUGAAAACCAAUAUGUACACAAAAUAGUUUUUGUACUAUAUGUGUUAGUUAUGCAUCCUUUGUUUCAAAUAAUGCUAAUAUUUUUUCAAACAAAAUGUUCUUGGUAGUGAAGUGGUUAAAGCAGGCUGUGUAUAUGGGUUAGGGUCGUUCUACAGCUAGAGGUAACAACAUUCGGCUCCAUAUACACCUCCCAAUUGUCCCAAGUGUUAAGAAAAGACCCCCUCCCUUAUUUUCUGUCCUAAGGUCCCUCUUUCAUAGGGGAUCAGUAUUGUUUGUGUGUCUUGAGUGUAUUCCAGAACAUCACAUCAUUAAUACAGUAAUGUGUCUUUAAAAUGCAAUAAAUGUGUUUAGAAAUCAGUCUGUGUAAAUAAGAUAUAAUAAUAAUUGCUGUUUUUAUGUCACCUAAAAUUUCGCAGAACACCCACUCACACUCCUAAAAUUAAUGUGUCCCUUUUUUCUAUUUUACAUGUUGAAAGGUAUGGGCUAGAUCUGCUGUAAAAACAUACUUCAGAAACGUUUUUGUUUUUUGCUUCUUCUAUCUAACAUUAUUAUUUAAUAUAUUGAUCACAACCGAACUGUUGAGUUUUCAGAAUGUAGAAUAAACCCCAGGAUAACUAAAGACUGUGAUAGCAUUCCAAUACAAAUAACUUUUUUAAGCAAAUAUUGUACAGUUAUUAGUUAUAUACAAGAAAAAUAUACCAUGAAAGUUCAACCACCCGUAAACAAUAUACAGUUAUAUUGUAGAAUAAUAAGUGUAACAAAAUACACAGAAGUACCUAGGUGUCUGCAUAAAUACAAAUAAAUGUGGAACAAAUUUGUUUUUUUUCCCUAGGUGAAGGGUCUACUUAUACCAAUAGUUGCACGUUCCAUUAGUAGGUUAUCUAUUUACAAUCAAGAGCUCAAACUAUGCUGGUUCCUGUUCUGCUUAUUUCAGAGAUAAAGUGCAUCUUGUACCAUAUCUUGUCUAGGUCUGCUGAGAUCGUCGCAGCAUACAGUAAUGUGUGUAAUAUGAGUAUGGCAUUUCUCUCCUUAACGUUCCACAUAAAUUUAUCUGCGGGAAAUCUGUGGUGUAAAUCAACAUAUCUGAAUUCCCCUUUACCACAUCAAAGUCUAACCAUGCCCACGCUUCAGACAGGUUUUCAUAUGUAUAAUAUGGCACCAGACAGGGCAUUGGGUCAUUGUAUGUCGUGAAAAUAUGAAAGAGGAAAUCCAACAAACCUUUUUCUUAUGGUUUCUUUUUCUAUCACUUUUAUGGUUUCAGAAGAGUAGCAGUUGUCAUGAAAGGGUCUCGGCCAGAACGGACAUAAUUAAAAAUUCUAUUUUAGUUCAUGAAUCCAUUGAAAUAUAUAUGACUUGAUUAUUCAUCUAAUUUACCAAAGUGGGCAAGAGCAAAACCUAGUUAAAUACCCAACAUGUAUUGAUCAAGAUAAGUGGUCUGGAAUAGAGCUCGUAAAUAUAAACAAAACAUUCCCAAGAUUUUAAUAUUUAAUAAUAUAUACAACAAUAAUAUUUUAAUAUAUUGUUGUUGACUUAUCCUCUAUAUUUAACAUAUCUGUUUGUAAGCCCUGAAAUUGAGAGAAAAAAAAUUAUAGAAAAUCACACACCUGUAUUUACUUUUUUUGUAAAUCUUUCUUUUAUUGAGGCAUAGGUAAGUUGGGUACAGAAAAGAAGAUGGGGAUACAUAUUAAAUCGUCAUACAUCCAAUUUGUAAUGAAACAUACAUUGAUAUAUCCUCCAAGACAUGGCUGCCUCAUUUUACAGUUAUAGUAUAUAGGCUAAGAGGACACAUCGAAGCUCCCAGUAAUACAGUGGUAGUGGGUAAAGAUAGUAAGCCAGAUUUGUAUUGAAAUGCACAUGGUGGAUAGUAAAUUAAUACCUAGCUAUGGUUAGGGAGUUAUCAGUUCCACCUAUAGUAGAUAAUUAAUAAAACAUGUUAAGCAAAGGUCAGCUGUAUGAGCCUAACACACCGGCAAUACUAAAACACAUAGAUUGAUAAUAACAAAUGUGCCUGGCAAGACAAUUUAUUCUUAACAGUAGCAGAGUAAGUGAGUACAGAUUAGAAUAAAAUAACAGAAGGUAAGUGCUGUCGGAAGGUGUAUUUACUUUUAUCUGGGAACACAGCCCCUCAAUCUGAUAUAUAAUUGCUCUAAACUCUGCUGUUUGCACCUGUCAGUCAGCGUAGACAGAAAAGAAGAUUAACAUAAUUUAGCAGCGAUUUUCAAUGUUUAAUCUAACAGUGUCAUUAAAGAGGCCAUUAGUGAUCUUGGUUGUAGAAGGAAUGAUAUAGGCACUAUCAGCUAUACUUCAUUCACAAAGUAUAAACUAUCCCUCCCUGCUAAAUUAUAUUGCAAGACUAAAGGAUGACUCCAGCCACCAUAGCCACUUCUGCAUUUAGAAGUGGUCAUGGUGGUAGGAGUCUGUAUGUGCAGCGUUUCUACUUAAAACACUGCACAUCCAGAGAUAUCUGCCCUUUUCUGCGGAGGACUAGUUAAACCCCCGGCACCCGUAGCUCAGUACUCUGUUUCAGGCUGUCUUAAAUCAAUCAUGUGCAAAAAUUACAUGCAUAGCGCUUACAACUGAAAGUUUUAGUGUCCCUCCUCUCUGUUUAGUGUUUGACUGUUUUUUCAUUUUUGCUUUAAAUCCCACCGCCUCUUUCUCCCUCACCUUCUUGUCUCAGAGUGUGCACAUGUACUCUUGGCCAAGGAGAAGAGUCCAACCAAAUGCUUCUCUGUGAGAAGCAUUUGAUUGGACCUCGCGAGAGAGGCGGUGACAUUGACAGUAGUUUGGAAACCAUUGCAGAGUCUUCACCCGGCUCUGCAUUCCAGGUAAGUUUAUGCUUAGUUUACAGGGGGGGAUCUAAUUGCUAAUGCCCAACAGAGCAUUGAAAAGUGAAAAUGAGAUGUAUAACAAAGGGGUUGAAGUAAACCUUUAACUCUCAUACCAGGGAGACUAAGGGAGCUUGGUUAUCUAAUGUGUUGGAUUGCCUGGAUCCUAAAUUAUCCAUAGUUUGGAAGUAGUGCAAGGUGUGUGUGUGGUGGGCUGCAAAUUUACUGAAUCUAUAUAUAUUUAAAUAUGUAAUUUGCUAGUCCUUAUCCUGGAAAAAUAUUUUACCUCUGCUCUAUUUAUGAUCAGUUCCAAAGGAGAGACAUUGUUUUUCUUUAUUCAACAGUGAUAAGUUUGUUCACACACUAAUGGAACAUUGUAAAUAAAGAAAGGAGGAAAAUUAAAGUGAGAAACAUUUUGGAUGUACAAGGACCGUACAAGGACAUGGAAGGGGGAAGACGACAAAAAGAAGUUGGAAGAAACCUUUUUGCAGAACCACCAGAGCUACAUCUAUCCACAGCACCCCAUUGUGUAUAUUAACUGACCUACUCCUUAUUUCAACAGGCAGAUCAUAUUUUAGAAUUCCAUAACAUGUAGCUACUGAUAUUAUCCAUGCACAUAUUUAUCAAUUACACAUGCACACCUGUCCUAAACCACUUGAGAUUAUUGGGAGGUUUUUCUUUUAAUAUAUUUGUAUUGGCAGAUCACCCACAGCUCUCCAUAAUGGGUUGCUGUAAUUGAAGCUGAGAAGUAACCAACAUAAUGAAGCAAUCCGAAAACAAGAGUUACAAUCCCAGGCAUUUCCAAAGUGACAAAUAUUGAAAAUAUAUAAAAAAGAUUUUGUCUGCAGCUUUAAAACACUAUACGUUUACCUUUCUUAUGCACAUCUUAAACAUCCUAAAUCAGUUUAAAUAGUGGAGUGCUUCAAAUCACUGAAUCCCAGAAGAUACCUAAAUUAGCAGUAUUAAAAUACUAAAAUAUGAUACAUUCCUCCUUUAACCUCUUAAGGAUGGAGGAAAUUGCCCAAGUUCUGAAACAAAUCAAAACCUAGAAUUUGAGCUAUAUGUCUGUUCACCCAUAAUUUACCUCUCUUAUUUUAAGUGCAGUCGCACUUAUUAUAUAUCAUUUUGUUCAGGAAAAAUUUGGCUUUAAUUUCACAUCAAAUAUGUAUGUAUGAACCAUAAUGUAAUAGGAAUUAAAUCUAAAUAAAGUGUGAGAAUUUGAGAAAUGGUUUUAUUUUCCAACAUCUGCAUGGCAUUUUAACUGUAAAUAUCAUAAUACUGUUAGCUUUUACUGCAAUAAAAUACACAUAUUUGUAUGCGGUGAUGUCUGCCAAGUACGAGGAUGUCCCUUAUGUACAGGUUUCAUGGUGUUUUGGAAAGUUAGAGGGUCAAAUAAAGAGCUUGCCUAUUUCACUUUUUGCACAUCUUACACAUUGAAAUUUGCCAGAUUGGUUUACUGGGCUUGUGUGCCUUUGAAACCAUUCAGCA
RNAcentral lists this long non-coding RNA (37246 nucleotides) under Pelobates cultripes (western spadefoot toad). The record is from RNAcentral. Lineage: Eukaryota; Metazoa; Chordata; Amphibia; Anura; Pelobatidae.